This 1187-nucleotide long non-coding RNA is filed under the name Sus scrofa (pig). RNAcentral's name for it is "lncRNA (ENSSSCG00070004556.1)". Lineage: Eukaryota; Metazoa; Chordata; Mammalia; Artiodactyla; Suidae. The record is from RNAcentral.
AUAAAAUCUAAGUCUAAACGCAUUUACAAAGAGCCUGCUGAGACGCCGGGACUGAUCCAGGCGCUUUGCCAUGGCUUCCUCCCCGAUGGGGACCGUGCUUCAUGCAGGAAGAAUGUGAUGUGUGUUUUCCCAGCUUCCCCUUCGAGCUGCCCCCAAAGGUGGGAGCUGGGGGGCCUCUCGGAAGCCCAGACGGAUUCCUCAGCGCUCAGCUUUCAGAAAUUCCACGAGUCGGGCUGCAACAUGAAUCAUCCUUCGAGUUUGGAAACUGUUGCAGAAUCAAAGCCAACGGAGAACCGGGAUCCAUCGCACUAACCGUCACCAACCACGACCAGAGCCGUCCUCCCCGGGUCUACAAUUCUCUGCGGUGCCUCAAAUGAUUUCGAGGGGGUGUCCCGGAACUGCCAGAAUAACAUCGUUCCCUAAGCAAGCACGCACGAACCCUAUGGUGAGUUAUCUCCCAAAGCAUCCGGAAGCUGGAGCAAGACCAGGAGGGGGAUAGGAGCGUCCCUUACAGAGUAGUCAUCGGUGUCCCAGGAAUCUCGCCGUCGAGCAAGGGAGCCUCGAGAGGCGAUGAGCCCCAUGUUUCUCUUUAAACAGCCACACCGAGAGGGCCCGUCGUGGCGCAGGGGUAACAAAACCGACUAGCAUCCGUGAGGACGCAGGCUCGAUCCCUGGCCUCGCUCCGUGGGUUAAGGAUCCAGCGUUGCCGUGAGCUGUGGUGUAGGUCCCAGAUGCAGCUCGGAUCUGGCGUGGCUGUGGCUGUGGCGGAGGCCGGCAGCUGCAGCUCUGAUUCGGCCCCUCGCCUGGGAACGUCCAUAUGCCGCGGGUGCAGCCCUAAAAAGGCAAAAACAAACAAACAACCCUGCAAAACUGAGGCCCGAACAGGGGAAAAGACCCCCCCCAAGAUCCCAGAGUAUUAUACCACACAUGCCUCCACUCCAGAGAUGUCCACUCCAGCUCCUUAAAGACCUCUUGAAGACAUGUGCGUGUUUUCCAACAUUAUAAGCAGGUGCGUGAGAAUUCACGCGGAAAGACUCUUGCCCCGUCAGACACACACACACACACACACACCCCACCCUGCGACCUCCCCUGGUCAGCCAGCUUUUACACAGCUGGAGGGCACCCCUCGGGAAUGGUUUUCGAGAAGGAAGUGCUGCCUGUAAGAGGAGGCUUUCUGUGCGCUUCUC